AUAUUGUACUAUAUAUGUAUAUAUCUUUUUAAUUUAGAAUUUUUAGGCGUGAGCAUUGUAUGUACUCGCACUACAAUAAAAAUGGUCUAUAGUGAUACUUUUAAAUAUAGGUAUAUGUCAAAAAAGUGCUGCUAGCUAAAAUUACCGACACUUUUAAAAAGUGUUGCUAUAUGUGGGGUCGCUAGGUAUAUAGUGACAGUUAAAGAGUGUCGCUAUAACCUAAAAGAGCGCUACUAAUUUACCAACACUUAUUUAAGCAUUUAGCAACCGCCAAAAUUCUAUCUCGUUGGCUGCGGUGGCGGAGGAGGACGACAGGAAAGGCUCUUCGUUUAAAAUUUCAGUGGAUUGAGUAAAGAGAGAAGAAAAGAUGGUAAUUGAUUUUUCUUUUUUUUUUCUUUUCUAUUUGUAAUCGGGCCAAAGGGACUAGGUGUGGCGGGUUGAGUAGAGUAAUCUUUUAUUUUUGGUUGGAUUGGACUUUAUAUUUAGACAUUAGUAGAUAUUUUUUAAAAUUUUAAAAUAAAUAGGACACUUACUCAAAAGUGUCAUAAACAUAUAUUUUUAUAAUCUAAUUCUGUUGUAGUGUCGUACGUGUUGUGUUCCUGGUUUUGGAAUGAA
RNAcentral lists this long non-coding RNA (615 nucleotides) under Ananas comosus (pineapple). Its description in RNAcentral is "long non-coding RNA (ACOM_LNC000197)". Lineage: Eukaryota; Viridiplantae; Streptophyta; Magnoliopsida; Poales; Bromeliaceae. The record is from RNAcentral.